RNAcentral lists this ribosomal RNA (253 nucleotides) under uncultured bacterium. Its description in RNAcentral is "partial 16S ribosomal RNA". It matches the Rfam family "Bacterial small subunit ribosomal RNA", at positions 524 to 776 of the family's 1533-position model. The record is from RNAcentral.
UACGAAGGGGGCUAGCGUUGUUCGGAAUCACUGGGCGUAAAGGGUGCGUAGGCGGGUUUUUAAGUCAGGGGUGAAAUCCUGGAGCUCAACUCCAGAACUGCCUUUGAUACUGAAGAUCUUGAGUUCGGGAGAGGUGAGUGGAACUGCGAGUGUAGAGGUGAAAUUCGUAGAUAUUCGCAAGAACACCAGUGGCGAAGGCGGCUCACUGGCCCGAUACUGACGCUGAGGCACGAAAGCGUGGGGAGCAAACAGG